CGGGACGUAGCGCAGCCAGGUAGCGCACUUCAAUGGGGUUGAAGGGGUCGUGAGUUCAAAUCUCGCCGUCCCGACCA
This 77-nucleotide transfer RNA is filed under the name Bacteroidota bacterium. Its description in RNAcentral is "Bacteroidetes bacterium tRNA-Pro". It matches the Rfam family "tRNA". Rfam says of the family: Transfer RNA (tRNA) molecules are approximately 80 nucleotides in length. Their secondary structure includes four short double-helical elements and three loops (D, anti-codon, and T loops). Further hydrogen bonds mediate the characteristic L-shaped molecular structure. tRNAs have two regions of fundamental functional importance: the anti-codon, which is responsible for specific mRNA codon recognition, and the 3' end, to which the tRNAs corresponding amino acid is attached (by aminoacyl-tRNA synthetases). tRNAs cope with the degeneracy of the genetic code in two manners: having more than one tRNA (with a specific anti-codon) for a particular amino acid; and 'wobble' base-pairing, i.e. permitting non-standard base-pairing at the 3rd anti-codon position. The record is from RNAcentral. Lineage: Bacteria; Pseudomonadati; Bacteroidota.